UAGGGAAUCUUCGGCAAUGGACGAAAGUCUGACCGAGCAACGCCGCGUGAGUGAAGAAGGUUUUCGGAUCGUAAAACUCUGUUGUUAGAGAAGAACAAGGACGUUAGUAACUGAACGUCCCCUGACGGUAUCUAACCAGAAAGCCACGGCUAACUACGUGCCAGCAGCCGCGGUAAUACGUAGGUGGCAAGCGUUGUCCGGAUUUAUUGGGCGUAAAGCGAGCGCAGGCGGUUUCUUAAGUCUGAUGUGAAAGCCCCCGGCUCAACCGGGGAGGGUCAUUGGAAACUGGGAGACUUGAGUGCAGAAGAGGAGAGUGGAAUUCCAUGUGUAGCGGUGAAAUGCGUAGAUAUAUGGAGGAACACCAGUGGCGAAGGCGGCUCUCUGGUCUGUAACUGACGCUGAGGCUCAAAAGCGUGGGGAGCAAACAGG
RNAcentral lists this ribosomal RNA (429 nucleotides) under Gemmatimonadota bacterium. RNAcentral's name for it is "Gemmatimonadetes bacterium partial 16S ribosomal RNA". It matches the Rfam family "Bacterial small subunit ribosomal RNA", at positions 355 to 776 of the family's 1533-position model. Lineage: Bacteria; Pseudomonadati; Gemmatimonadota. The record is from RNAcentral.